RNAcentral lists this ribosomal RNA (1444 nucleotides) under Klebsiella pneumoniae. Its description in RNAcentral is "bacterial SSU rRNA". It matches the Rfam family "Bacterial small subunit ribosomal RNA". The record is from RNAcentral. Lineage: Bacteria; Pseudomonadati; Pseudomonadota; Gammaproteobacteria; Enterobacterales; Enterobacteriaceae.
ACCAUUGGGGCAGACUACACAUGCAGUCGAGCGGUAGCACAGAGAGCUUGCUCUCGGGUGACGAGCGGCGGACGGGUGAGUAAUGUCUGGGAAACUGCCUGAUGGAGGGGGAUAACUACUGGAAACGGUAGCUAAUACCGCAUAAUGUCGCAAGACCAAAGUGGGGGACCUUCGGGCCUCAUGCCAUCAGAUGUGCCCAGAUGGGAUUAGCUAGUAGGUGGGGUAACGGCUCACCUAGGCGACGAUCCCUAGCUGGUCUGAGAGGAUGACCAGCCACACUGGAACUGAGACACGGUCCAGACUCCUACGGGAGGCAGCAGUGGGGAAUAUUGCACAAUGGGCGCAAGCCUGAUGCAGCCAUGCCGCGUGUGUGAAGAAGGCCUUCGGGUUGUAAAGCACUUUCAGCGGGGAGGAAGGCGUUGAGGUUAAUAACCUUGUCGAUUGACGUUACCCGCAGAAGAAGCACCGGCUAACUCCGUGCCAGCAGCCGCGGUAAUACGGAGGGUGCAAGCGUUAAUCGGAAUUACUGGGCGUAAAGCGCACGCAGGCGGUCUGUCAAGUCGGAUGUGAAAUCCCCGGGCUCAACCUGGGAACUGCAUUCGAAACUGGCAGGCUAGAGUCUUGUAGAGGGGGGUAGAAUUCCAGGUGUAGCGGUGAAAUGCGUAGAGAUCUGGAGGAAUACCGGUGGCGAAGGCGGCCCCCUGGACAAAGACUGACGCUCAGGUGCGAAAGCGUGGGGAGCAAACAGGAUUAGAUACCCUGGUAGUCCACGCCGUAAACGAUGUCGAUUUGGAGGUUGUGCCCUUGAGGCGUGGCUUCCGGAGCUAACGCGUUAAAUCGACCGCCUGGGGAGUACGGCCGCAAGGUUAAAACUCAAAUGAAUUGACGGGGGCCCGCACAAGCGGUGGAGCAUGUGGUUUAAUUCGAUGCAACGCGAAGAACCUUACCUGGUCUUGACAUCCACAGAACUUUCCAGAGAUGGAUUGGUGCCUUCGGGAACUGUGAGACAGGUGCUGCAUGGCUGUCGUCAGCUCGUGUUGUGAAAUGUUGGGUUAAGUCCCGCAACGAGCGCAACCCUUAUCCUUUGUUGCCAGCGGUCCGGCCGGGAACUCAAAGGAGACUGCCAGUGAUAAACUGGAGGAAGGUGGGGAUGACGUCAAGUCAUCAUGGCCCUUACGACCAGGGCUACACACGUGCUACAAUGGCAUAUACAAAGAGAAGCGACCUCGCGAGAGCAAGCGGACCUCAUAAAGUAUGUCGUAGUCCGGAUUGGAGUCUGCAACUCGACUCCAUGAAGUCGGAAUCGCUAGUAAUCGUAGAUCAGAAUGCUACGGUGAAUACGUUCCCGGGCCUUGUACACACCGCCCGUCACACCAUGGGAGUGGGUUGCAAAAGAAGUAGGUAGCUUAACCUUCGGGAGGGCGCUACCACCUUUGAUUCAAGG